UUCCCAGAUUUUGGCCUAACCAGUGCCUCUAUUUUUGCACUAACAGCCGCCAAUAAAAUGAGCUGGCAGAAAAUACACUUUGAAAAACUGUUCUGAUGUCACUUCAGAGAUGCCACAUUUUAUUUUAAGUACCUAUGUAGAAAUACACUUGAAAUCUUAUGCUAUCGGAUCCCCAUUGACAUUCCAAUGAAAGAGCUAGAUUGACACAAAAUCAACACUAUACGCAAUGCACAGGUGUACCAAUAGGCUUUCAUUCAUGCUACAUAUUUAUGAGUCUAUUCAAUCUUUUAAUCAGUGAAACAAGAGAGAGAUUACAAAACACCAAAGAUGAGGGAAACUAAAACUAAUGGCAGAGAGACACCUUUUGAUGGUAAAACUCUCGGCUCUUCCAUUUGUUGGGUACCAUCUAAAAUAUUUCAAAACAAAUGUAACUGAGAAUAGGAACAAAUUAUACAUGCUGUUUUUAUGAGACAAGAAAAGGGGAAAAAAAUAGAUAUGGAUUUUAACAAAUAUAAAUGAUGCUCUGGCUAAAAAAGGUAGGGCACUUUUGGAAUGUGAGACACUAAUAUGUAGUUUUUGAUCCUUGCCAAGACCCUUUUACUUUACAAAGAUGAAGUUAAGGAAUGAUUUCAUCAUUGUUGAUAGAUUAAGUCAUAAAAACAAAAUGUGAGUAGUAUGUGAUACAUAGAUAUAAUUUUGCAAUACUGAUGGAACUUGGACAACAAGAUGUAGAAGUGUGUGACCUUUUACAUGUGGUGAAGCAGAACUCCAGUCCUGCCGUCACGUGAUAGAAGACUUAACAAGGGUAAAGCAGAAGCUGUACUGGAAGUUUUGAAGGUGAUAGUCAGAUAACGAACAAAACUUACCAUUAGCUAAAGUACUUCUGUUCAUCCAGACCAAAUUUACUCUUAGUAAGCAGAAUUCUACUUUAAAUAAUCAUACUGAUUUAAAAUAGAUAAGCAACACAUACCUAGCCUAGAUAAAAUCACUGAAGAAGUAGCUAGUGAGGUGAACUUACAUCACUAAUUAAAUACCGUUUGCAUCCACUGGCCAUACAGAUACUUUCAGCAAGGUGUGACUUCUGUAUUAAGCAAAGAAAAUAAUCAUCAGUGUUCAGCUAUGUUAAUAGUUACAUAUACAGAGUUAGAGAAAACCAAAAUAAGGAAAAAGCUCAAUCUGAGUUCAGACUUCCAUGAAUACUGCUUAACCACAAUGUACAAGCCUAUUGUAAUGGUAGAAGAAGGUGUCAGAAAGGUAGGAUUCAAGGAGGAAAAGCUCAGAAAAACAGGAACUUGUAACAGAGAGGAAGUUAUCUAAUACAAUACAAGAAGCCUCAGCACUGAUCUGAGGUGAGGGAACAAAAACACAGCUGGAGCAGAGAACACCAAUGAAGCACUGGCUAUUGUGGCUGGGAGUUCUGACAGAGCUUCUAGCAAACCUGACACUGCAGCAAUAUGACACAGAGGCAGCUAUAUCCCAACCAAGCAGAUAGAUACAGGUGUUUCAGGACCAUAGGAUCAUAGAGUAUCGUGAGUUGGAAGGAACUCUACAAGGAUCAUUGAAUCCAACACCCAGCUCCACACAGAAACACCCAAAAUUCAAACCUUAUGCAUGAGGCCACUUUAUUCUCAUCGUAUAUAGGGAUAUGCCGUAUCUCUUAUGCAAAUAGAUUCUUUUUCAAUAGCCAAAGAGUAUCCUGUGACAAAUGGUUGCUAUUUUGAGCUCACACUAAUGCACUGUGAAAAAAACAUAGUUAUGCC
This 1760-nucleotide long non-coding RNA is filed under the name Gallus gallus (chicken). Its description in RNAcentral is "lncRNA (ENSGALG00010002260.1)". Lineage: Eukaryota; Metazoa; Chordata; Aves; Galliformes; Phasianidae. The record is from RNAcentral.